RNAcentral lists this ribosomal RNA (444 nucleotides) under uncultured bacterium. RNAcentral's name for it is "bacterial SSU rRNA". It matches the Rfam family "Bacterial small subunit ribosomal RNA", at positions 329 to 792 of the family's 1533-position model. The record is from RNAcentral.
GGCCAGACUCCUACGGGAGGCAGCAGUGGGGAAUAUUGCACAAUGGGGGAAACCCUGAUGCAGCAACGCCGCGUGGGUGAAGGAGCGUUUCGGCGCGUAAAGCCCUGUCAGCGGGGAAGAAAGACGGUACCCGACCAAGAAGCCCCGGCUAACUACGUGCCAGCAGCCGCGGUAAUACGUAGGGGGCAAGCGUUAUCCGGAUUCACUGGGUGUAAAGGGAGCGUAGACGGCGACGCAAGUCUGGAGUGAAAGCCCGGGGCCCAACCCCGGGACUGCUCUUGGAACUGCGCGGCUGGAGUGCAGGAGGGGCAGGCGGAAUUCCUGGUGUAGCGGUGAAAUGCGUAGAUAUUAGGAGGAACACCAGUGGCGAAGGCGGCCUGCUGGGCUUUUACUGACGCUGAGGCUCGAAAGUGUGGGGAGCAAACAGGAUUAGAUACCCCAGUA